GACGAACCGUGCGAACGUUAUUCGGAAUCACUGGGCUUAAAGCGCGUGUAGGCGGGACGGCACGUCGGUCGCUGAAAGCCCCCGGCUCAACCGGGGAAGGGGCGCCGAUACGACCGACCUGGAGGGACGUAGGGGGACCUGGAACUUCCGGUGGAGCGGUGAAAUGCGUUGAGAUCGGAAGGAACGCCCGUGGCGAAAGCGAGGUCCUGGACGUCUGCUGACGCUGAGACGCGAAAGCCAGGGGAGCGAACAGG
Molecule: ribosomal RNA, 254 nt
Filed under: uncultured bacterium
Lineage: Bacteria
Description: partial 16S ribosomal RNA
Rfam family: Bacterial small subunit ribosomal RNA
Source: RNAcentral